UACGGAGGGGGCUAGCGUUGUUCGGAAUUACUGGGCGUAAAGCGCGCGUAGGCGGACCUGCAAGUCGGGGGUGAAAGCCCGAGGCUCAACCUCGGAACUGCCUUCGAUACUGCGGGUCUCGAGUCCGGGAGAGGUGAGUGGAAUUCCUAGUGUAGAGGUGAAAUUCGUAGAUAUUAGGAAGAACACCAGUGGUGAAGGCGGCUCACUGGCCCGGUACUGACGCUGAGGCACGAAAGCGUGGGGAACAAACAGG
Molecule: ribosomal RNA, 253 nt
Filed under: uncultured bacterium
Lineage: Bacteria
Description: partial 16S ribosomal RNA
Rfam family: Bacterial small subunit ribosomal RNA
Source: RNAcentral